RNAcentral lists this ribosomal RNA (253 nucleotides) under uncultured bacterium. RNAcentral describes it as "partial 16S ribosomal RNA". It matches the Rfam family "Bacterial small subunit ribosomal RNA", at positions 524 to 776 of the family's 1533-position model. The record is from RNAcentral.
UACGUAGGUGGCAAGCGUUGUCCGGAUUUAUUGGGUUUAAAGGGUGCGUAGGCGGCCUUAUAAGUCAGUGCUGAAAUAUCCCGGCUUAACCGGGAGGGUGGCAUUGAUACUGUAGGGCUUGAGUGUAGUCGAGGUAGGCGGAAUUGACAGUGUAGCGGUGAAAUGCUUAGAUAUCGUCAAGAACACCGAUAGUGUAGACAGCUUACUAGGCUACAACUGACGCUGAGGCACGAAAGUGUGGGGAUCAAACAGG